UGCUCAAAGUUCCGUUCAUGGAGCAAUGGCAGGGUUCACAGGCUUUUUAGUUAGCAUAUUACUGAGAGCCAGAACCAGGUUGUGAUUACCGAUAGGAUCUGGGCCACAACUCCUUUCUUCAACCAACCAACCGAGCUUCUUGAACCCCAAAGAUGUUGAUGAAGUCCAAAAAGAGGAAGAGCCUCCAACUCAACUGCUAGACAGGGAAAAUUGUAAAGCUAGCAAGUACUGAAGACAUUCCUGGCAUGACAUGAAAACACAAGACUGUUUUAUUCGAAACCUUCUGUUAGAAUCGCUAGUAUUCAGAUCUUUGGUUGAUGCCCUACUGACCCAGAAUGUUGAUGGGAAUUCACAUUUUUGACUGCUAGUACCAUCUGUGGAGCAUAAUUGUUUGCUGUUGUAUCAGAUGAAUUCAAUUCACCAUGCCCUACCGAAGAGAUUUCCGCUUAAAAUGUUCAUUUGAUAUAAGCAAUACUAGCAUAUCUGGAAUGGGAUUAGCAGAGUCUAAUUAAGCUCCAUCCUGUACGAAUUUGUAAUUACUUAGGUCAUUGCAUAUUUUUGACUAGUGCUGCUACUGGCCAUUUGUUCUGUUGGAUAGUUUUGGGUGUUUAGCAGUAGAUAGUAGUUUAUCAACACACGCAAGCACCUCAAGUUUGAAAUGAUUGUAUUGUGACGGUGCUUGAUCCUGAAGUGGUAAUGCUGAUUUCAAUUUCACAUUGGUUAACUUUUUGUCAAAUUAAUUCUGUGGACCAUUUGAUUGUUC
This is a long non-coding RNA of Rosa rugosa (rugosa rose), 763 nucleotides long. RefSeq lists it as uncharacterized. The transcript is spliced from 2 exons. The record is from RefSeq and is a predicted model, not a curated record. NCBI's taxonomy places the organism in Eukaryota, Viridiplantae, Streptophyta, Magnoliopsida, Rosales, Rosaceae.